RNAcentral lists this small nucleolar RNA (135 nucleotides) under Mus pahari (shrew mouse). Lineage: Eukaryota; Metazoa; Chordata; Mammalia; Rodentia; Muridae. The record is from RNAcentral.
GUGGCUCUGAAUCAAGACUAACAGUUUGCUGAAGCGGUUGAUUUCCAGCUGAGGCCUAACGAAUGUCUCUCUGUUUAGAAUUUCCAUUGCAGAAACUCUAGAAUGUAACGCUUGAUUCAUUAGAAAGGAGCAUCU